This 380-nucleotide ribosomal RNA is filed under the name uncultured archaeon. Its description in RNAcentral is "bacterial SSU rRNA". It matches the Rfam family "Archaeal small subunit ribosomal RNA", at positions 471 to 851 of the family's 1478-position model. The record is from RNAcentral.
UAAUACCAGCUCUCCGAGUGGUAGGGACGAUUAUUGGGCUUAAAGCGUUCGUAGCCGGCCUGGCAAGUCCCUCGUCAAAUCCAGCGACCCAAUCGCUGGGCCGCGGGAGAUACUGUCAGGCUCGGGAGCGGGAGAGGCCGACGGUAUUCCCGGGGUAGGAGUGAAAUCCUAUAAUCCCGGGAGGACCACCAGUGGCGAAGGCUGUCGGCUAGAACGCGUCCGACGGUGAGGGACGAAAGCUGGGGGAGCGAACCGGAUUAGAUACCCGGGUAGUCCCAGCUGUAAACGAUGCGGGCUAAGUGUCGGCGUGGCUAUGAGCCACUCCGGUGCCGCAGGGAAGCUCUUAAGCCCGCCGCCUGGGAAGUACGGUCGCAAGGCUG